Osmerus eperlanus (European smelt) is the source of this 4927-nucleotide long non-coding RNA. RefSeq lists it as uncharacterized. Lineage: Eukaryota; Metazoa; Chordata; Actinopteri; Osmeriformes; Osmeridae. The record is from RefSeq and is a predicted model, not a curated record. The transcript has 3 exons.
UUGGAUGUUUCUUUGUUUUGUUUGGCGCUGAUGAAAACGGAGAGGGAAGUGCGUUUCGAGAGCGUUGUAGGAAGCAGGUUGGCCACGGAGACGGGGGAAGAACGGGGCUGGAGAGGUGCAGGACGGGGAGAAUGGAGGAGCUGCUCUAGAGGGAGCUGUUUACUGUGGGAUGACAACACUGCCUUUCUCCACCUCUCCCUAUCUCUCUGUCCCCCUUCCCUCCCUCUCUCUCUCUCUCUCUCUCUCUCUCUCUCUCUCUCUCUCUCUCUCUCUCUCUCUCUCUCUCUCUCUCUCUCUCUCUCUCUCUCUCUCUCUCUCUCUCCCCCCCCCCCCCCCCCAGAGGGCUUGGUGCUGCCCUUCCUGCAGGUUAUGAGGGGGUACGUGUGGUAUUGCGCUCCUCGGCUUCAGAGGUGUGUGAUAAGACUUCCCUAAUCCCUCUGUGUGUGUGUCCCCUCACCUGCGUCUUUUCAACACGCGCACACACACACACACGCACACACACACAGUCGCACACAUGCAAACAGGCACACACCGCCCACGGUUGUUUACACAAGGUUCACACAAUCGACCAGAGGAGAUGAGGAGCUGUCAGUCACAUAUCUCUUCUCAGAACAGGACUUGGAGGAAUGUAUCCGUCGUCGUGGAUACACCUGUGCUAUUGGCGGUUUCCUGCGGCAGUAUUAUGGGGUGUAAUCCCUGACAUCACCUGUGUUUAUCUCUGUGUGUUAGUUACAGGCCUGGGUGGUGCAUGCUUCAGAGCUUAGGUGGGACUUCUGCUUGGUUAGGUUGCUCAGUCAGCCCUUAGGCCCCAGCCUCCGCCGCCACACACACACAGACACACACACGUCAACAUGCAUAAACACACACACACACACACACAUACUAAAGUCAAUAUUAAUAGAUAAAUGCACAGAUUCAUCCACAACAUCAAAAAAUUAUCAGGUCUCAAUGAGGUGAAAAAAGUUUGUUUCUUUUACAUAACUGCCGUUGACUGCGUGCAGUAUCAGUUUGCAGAAUAAGUCUUCAUGCUGUAGAAUUUCACCCGAACAGUGUUAUUUUGAUGUCAGAUUGAAACCUAAAAUAAACCUAAUCGUACGGUACAUUAAACGGAGGCUAUUUCCUUAUGAACGUUGAGUAUUUGGUGAGUUUUUUUUAAAGUUGUUUUAUACGGUCAGUAUUUCGUCGUUAGUGACGUGGACUGAGGUCAUGGACAGGGAGGAGAAAGCCUGUAAUUUCUGCCAAUCACUAAACUCACUUUUUAUUUUAGGAAAUAGUCUAAAAAUAGACUCUGGCACGGCCAAAUGUUGCCCCAAACUCCCUCAGUGACACACAUCGAAGAAGUGACUCCACACAUCUGGCUUUUUUAUUAUAAAGAAAUCGCUCUCUUUUUUUUGUCCUCGUUCUUUUUUCCUCCUCCUUUUUUUUCUUCUUCUUCUUCUUUUCUUUCUGACAGCCGUCCACUCAAAUAAAUAAAUAAAAACUCUGCGGUUCUGUUUCUCAUUUGUAAGAUUUGUUGGGUGGAUUAGAUAGAAAGAGCCCUAAUUACAAGUAAAGGAAGGACACGCUUCAGCCGUCUUUAUGAAAACACUGUGUUCUGAAGUGAAAGGCAGGGAGCGGCGCGGCAUCACCCCUCAGUUGGCCCACCCCACCGGGCACUGCCCUGACCCAGCCGGGCUGGGGACAGAGCCCUCUCAGACCCCGGACCACCGGAUGAUUAACAAGGCCCGGUGUCCCUCCCAGAGGCCCGUACACCAACUGGAAUGAUGAUGACGAGGCAGGGUUUAGCAGAGGAUGACGGUGCUGGAUAUCUUGUAGAUCCAGUGCGGCGUUAAAGCCAUGUUGGAAUGUGUUCUAGUGAGGCCAGAUGGCAGGUCAGUGACAGCCUCCUCCCAUCAUCUUCUAAUGCUAUUUCAACCAGCGACCCUUGCUUGUCAAGCCAUGCUCGGCUCUACAGUAAAGUGGUCAAAGCGCUGGGCCGUGGUGCUGUGGUCUGCGGCUGUAAACCUCCUUGCAGGGCCAUCCCCACUAUAUGACUUAUUUUACCUCCGUUCCGCCAAAAAGCUCCCUGGCUGAAUAAAUGGUUAGGCAGGAGUUAAGCAUAUAUAAAGCAAUGUAACGCAAUACUGUUGGUGGGUCUGACAUUGGCCCAGCGGUACUGUAAAAGAAGUGACGUUUUACCUCGUGUUUUUUUUUUCUGUUUCUUUUUUCUUUCAACAGCCAAGGAAUCCAGAUUCCGGGAAUAAGACGUGCUCUCCUGUUUCUCAUGGAUUCUUGUGGAGAGACCAGAGUAGAGACCAGAGGCUGACCAAGAGAGACCAAGAGCAGAGACCAGAGGCUGACCUGUGAGAGACGAAGAGCAGAGACCAGAGGCCGACCUGUGAGAGACCAAGAGCAGAGACCAGAGGCUGACCUGCGAGAGACAAGAGCAGAGACCAGAGGCUGACCUGCGAGAGACCAGAGCAGAGACCAGAGGCUGACCUGCGAGAGACCAGAGCAGAGACCAGAGGCCGACCUGCGAGAGACCAGAGCAGAGACCAGAGGCUGACCUGCGAGAGACCAGAGCAGAGACCAGAGGCUGACCUGCGAGAGACCAGAGCAGAGAGACCAGAGGCUGACCUGCGAGAGACCAGAGCAGAGACCAGAGGCUGACCUGUGAGAGACCAAGAGCAGAGACCAGAGGCUGACCUGCGAGAGACCAGAGCAGAGACCAGAGGCUGACCUGUGAGAGACCAAGAGGAGAGACCAGAGGCUGACCUGUGAGAGACCAAGAGCAGAGACGAGAGGCUGACCUGCGAGUGACCAGAGCAGAGACCAGAGGCUGACCUGUGAGAGACCAAGAGCAGAGACCAGAGGCUGACCUGUGAGAGACCAAGAGCAGAGACCAGAGGCUGACCUGCGAGAGACCAAGAGCAGAGACCAGAGGCCGACCUGCGAGAGACCAGAGCAGAGACCAGAGGCCGACCUGCGAGAGACCAGAGCAGAGACCAGAGGCUGACCUGUGAGAGACCAAGAGCAGAGACCAGAGGCUGACCUGAGAGAGACCAAGAGGAGAGACCAGAGGCUGACCUGAGAGAGACCAGAGCAGAGACCAGAGGCUGACCUGAGAGAGACCAAGAGGAGAGACCAGAGGCUGACCUGCGAGAGACCAAGAGCAGAGACCAGAGGCUGACCUGUGAGAGACCAAGAGCAGAGACCAGAGGCUGACCUGCGAGAGACCAGAGCAGAGACCAGAGGCUGACCUGUGAGAUACCAAGAGGAGAGACCAGAGGCUGACCUGUGAGAGACCAAGAGCAGAGACCAGAGGCCGACCUGUGAGAGACCAAGAGCAGAGACCAGAGGCUGACCUGCGAGAGACAAGAGCAGAGACCAGAGGCUGACCUGCGAGAGACCAGAGCAGAGACCAGAGGCUGACCUGCGAGAGACCAGAGCAGAGACCAGAGGCCGACCUGCGAGAGACCAGAGCAGAGACCAGAGGCUGACCUGCGAGAGACCAGAGCAGAGACCAGAGGCUGACCUGCGAGAGACCAGAGCAGAGAGACCAGAGGCUGACCUGCGAGAGACCAGAGCAGAGACCAGAGGCUGACCUGUGAGAGACCAAGAGCAGAGACCAGAGGCUGACCUGCGAGAGACCAGAGCAGAGACCAGAGGCUGACCUGUGAGAGACCAAGAGGAGAGACCAGAGGCUGACCUGUGAGAGACCAAGAGCAGAGACGAGAGGCUGACCUGCGAGUGACCAGAGCAGAGACCAGAGGCUGACCUGUGAGAGACCAAGAGCAGAGACCAGAGGCUGACCUGUGAGAGACCAAGAGCAGAGACCAGAGGCUGACCUGCGAGAGACCAAGAGCAGAGACCAGAGGCCGACCUGCGAGAGACCAGAGCAGAGACCAGAGGCCGACUUGCGAGAGACCAGAGCAGAGACCAGAGGCCGACCUGCGAGAGACCAGAGCAGAGACCAGAGGCUGACCUGUGAGAGACCAAGAGCAGAGACCAGAGGCUGACCUGAGAGAGACCAAGAGGAGAGACCAGAGGCUGACCUGAGAGAGACCAGAGCAGAGACCAGAGGCUGACCUGAGAGAGACCAAGAGGAGAGACCAGAGGCUGACCUGCGAGAGACCAAGAGCAGAGACCAGAGGCUGACCUGUGAGAGACCAAGAGCAGAGACCAGAGGCUGACCUGCGAGAGACCAAGAGCAGAGACCAGAGGCCGACCUGUGAGAGACCAAGAGGAGAGACCAGAGGCUGACCUGAGAGAGACCAAGAGGAGUCAACAGGAGUGUGAUGGCCUGGCCUGGACCGUACCAUUUAGGAGCUGCACCAGGGGUGUGAUGGCCUAAUCUUGACUGUACCAUGUUGGAGUUGCACCAGGGGUGUGAUGGCCUGAUCUUGACUGUACCAUGUUGGAGCUGCACCAAGGGUGUGAUGACCUGACCUGGACUGUACCAUGGACCCUACUAUUGAGGAGUAAUAACAGGUGGGGGCCAGGAGAUGUCCAGUGUGGUUUGGCUACUGUCAGAAGCUACCUUGUUAGAAGAAUCACAGCUAGGAUCCAUCCCUGCUGGACUCACUGACAGGAUUUUUCCUCAACACCAUGGAAUAGUCCCAUGGCUGUUUUGGAACGAUCCACUCCAUCAUUUCUGGAAAGGUAACUUUUUGAAGAUAGAAAUUAAGCCCCUUUUUGGAGAGCUACAGUAUUAAUGGAACGGUCUGUUCUACUACUGGACAUGGGUGACACUUUCUAUGAGAGACUGUUUGUUUUUUCUCCAGUGAGACUAUCUUUUGGGAGUAAAGUAUCAUUCAUUUCACAAUAUCUUUGUUUUAAAGACACUGACAUACUGCUUAUUCUGUUGUUGAGCACAUUUGCAGUUGUUUGAGGACACCACUCCUCCAAUCUUCCAACAAGUAAACAUUAAAAAAAUUCUGAAACAUUA